CUAGAUAGCUCAGGUGGUAGAGCAACGGAUUGAAAAUCCGUGUGUCGGUGGUUCGAUUCCGCCUCUAGC
RNAcentral lists this transfer RNA (69 nucleotides) under uncultured Parasutterella sp. It matches the Rfam family "tRNA". Rfam says of the family: Transfer RNA (tRNA) molecules are approximately 80 nucleotides in length. Lineage: Bacteria; Pseudomonadati; Pseudomonadota; Betaproteobacteria; Burkholderiales; Sutterellaceae. The record is from RNAcentral.